CAGUCAUACCAACGGGAAAUCAACCUUUUGAGCUUGGUUUCGUGGGUUUUGAAGAGUUUCAAAGCCUUCGGAUUCGCGAGAUUGGGAUCUCUCGGUGUACUUUCUCGUACGGUUAGUCAACAUCGGUUUUGAAUGUCAUAAAAUGACUGGAGGAAUGUAGCUUCGAUCUCGUAUUGAAGUGUUAUAGCCUUUGGUAGAUGAGAUGUUUGAGACCGAGGAUUGCAACGGAUACCCUUCAGGGCUAUUCGUCUGAUCUCUGAUACGUUGCCUUGAUGUUGAAAGCUUGCUUAUGAUGUUAGGGUAUUACGGUCAAAAGGUUAGAACGAAUUACA
Molecule: ribosomal RNA, 332 nt
Filed under: uncultured Glomeromycotina
Lineage: Eukaryota; Fungi; Glomeromycota
Description: eukaryotic LSU rRNA
Source: RNAcentral